RNAcentral lists this long non-coding RNA (265 nucleotides) under Trifolium pratense (red clover). Its description in RNAcentral is "long non-coding RNA (TPRA_LNC013319)". Lineage: Eukaryota; Viridiplantae; Streptophyta; Magnoliopsida; Fabales; Fabaceae. The record is from RNAcentral.
CUUAUAUAUGGAAAAAAGAAAGAAGAAAAACCGAACCGGUUCUGUUUGGAAAGGAAUUGUCAAUGGUUCAAUUUGGUUAAAAAAUAUUUUUCAAAAAUAUAGAACCAAUUUACUGAACUGUUAUAACAUAUCUACCUAGAAAUGUGAUGAGUUCGGACCUUGAAGGCCCAAUCCUUCGUCGUACGGAAUGAGUAUAACUUGACUACAAGGGAAACAAAUCGCCUAGACCUGUGUUGUGUAGCAAGACUAACAAGUUGAGAACAGG